CUUAGGGAAAGGUCUCACAGCCCUAUUGAUGAUGGAGAUGAUCCUAUAGUCAUCCGUGGAAGUUCUUGUGGGGGUACGAAACAGUGAAGAGUGCAAUUUAGAAGGCACAGAUACACAUGGAAAGUAUGUACCUGGGAUCUCAGAUCUCAUCCCCACCCUGCUGCUUCCAACAUGGACUCUCACUAAAAUGAAGAGAAACUGUUGAAGUGCAUAGUGUUUCUCAGGGUUUGUAUUGACUUAACUGAGGUAAGAAUCUUACUCAAAUUUCUUGAAACAAACAAAAAAGCUGUUUUUCCUGUAAUGUAAUCAUGAGAGAAUGAUUUCAGUGCCUUCCAGUUAUUUUUUUUUCUGCUUUCAGAUUCUUUCGUCCUCUAUUAGAUUAUUUUUUUAAGCACUCCAUAGUCCAUGUCUGUUGUACCUAAAAGUCACCCUUCUUCAGUGAUUCAUAUCUGAAUGCCAAAUGGAAGAUAGCUAAAAUACAAUGGCCUUGUGUAAGUAUUUGAUCAGGUUAUGCCCUGUGCUAUAAGCUGCCUGCUGCUUGAUCACUGGGUUUGAAGGGGACCGUGCUCUUCAUGCUGAGUUUGAACGUAGUCUGGUUGGAAGCAAGUGUUCUGCUU
This 617-nucleotide long non-coding RNA is filed under the name Anas zonorhyncha (Eastern spot-billed duck). RNAcentral describes it as "lncRNA (ENSAZOG00000000959.1)". The record is from RNAcentral. Lineage: Eukaryota; Metazoa; Chordata; Aves; Anseriformes; Anatidae.